Molecule: unclassified non-coding RNA, 400 nt
Filed under: uncultured fungus
Lineage: Eukaryota; Fungi
Description: sequence contains ITS1
Source: RNAcentral
CCAACUCCUGGAACAGGGCGCCCUCCGCUUGGACUGGGCCGGAUACCAGAUAGAACAGCAACGGCUCAUCUUGACUGCCAUAGGCAGUUAUCAAUUGGAGGAAGCGGUCAAGGCAUCCAAUCGGCUGAUUGAACGGGAGAUUCCCCACUCGGUGGUCUAUAUGCUGGAGCCGGGCCGGUUCCGCAUCCCUAGAAGCGAUGGAGAGCGGGAGCACGUGGCAGGCGAUUCUCUGAGAGAUGAACUGUAUCCAGCCUCGGUACCGGCCCGGGUCUUCGCUACCCACACGCGACCUGAACCGGUGCUGGGCACGUUGCAACCUUUGAACACCGGGUACGGGCACACUGGCGGCCUGGGAUUCCUGGGGCACGGCGGGACCCUCACCCCGGCCGGCAUGCUAUUC